AUACGUAGGGUGCAAGCGUUGUCCGGAAUUAUUGGGCGUAAAGAGCUCGUAGGCGGUCUGUCGCGUCGGCUGUGAAAACCCGGAGCUCAACUCCGGGCCUGCAGUCGAUACGGGCAGACUGGAGUUCGGCAGGGGAGACUGGAAUUCCUGGUGUAGCGGUGAAAUGCGCAGAUAUCAGGAGGAACACCGGUGGCGAAAGGCGG
RNAcentral lists this ribosomal RNA (203 nucleotides) under uncultured bacterium. Its description in RNAcentral is "partial 16S ribosomal RNA". It matches the Rfam family "Bacterial small subunit ribosomal RNA", at positions 523 to 725 of the family's 1533-position model. The record is from RNAcentral.